This 198-nucleotide ribosomal RNA is filed under the name uncultured prokaryote. Its description in RNAcentral is "partial 16S ribosomal RNA". It matches the Rfam family "Bacterial small subunit ribosomal RNA", at positions 524 to 721 of the family's 1533-position model. The record is from RNAcentral.
AACGUAGGUGGCGAGCGUUAUCCGGAUUUACUGGGCGUAAAGCGUGUGCAGAUGGGGCAGUAAGUGGUGUAUGAAAUCGCUCGGCUCAACCGGGCAGGGUUAUGCCAGACUGCUGUUCUAGAGAACGGGAGAGGGACGUGGAAUUCCGGGUGUAGUGGUGAAAUGCGUAGAGAUCCGGAGGAACCCCUGAGGCGAAGG